GGAAGUGUGCCCGAAUUUAAAGGACUACUUUGAUAGAGUAGACUAUAGGGGCUAAACCCCCUCACUUC
This 68-nucleotide transfer RNA is filed under the name Enyalioides azulae. RNAcentral's name for it is "tRNA-Ile". The record is from RNAcentral. Lineage: Eukaryota; Metazoa; Chordata; Lepidosauria; Squamata; Hoplocercidae.